This 233-nucleotide unclassified non-coding RNA is filed under the name uncultured fungus. RNAcentral describes it as "sequence contains ITS1". The record is from RNAcentral. Lineage: Eukaryota; Fungi.
GUAUUGUAUUGCGUUAAACGCGUCAUGCAUUCCAUGAGACUUCGUUACAGAGUGUGUGUAAAAACAUAGGACCACGACAGGAGGACAGAGUCCCCCAUGCCAUGGAACUACAGAGGGUGCACAGGUGUGAGUGGAUGUGUGAACAGAGCGUGCACAUGCCCCCGUUUUGAGGACCAGCAACAACUCGUGUCGACGGUUCGGUAAUGAUCCUUCCGCAGGUUCACCUACGGAAA